Molecule: long non-coding RNA, 427 nt
Filed under: Arachis ipaensis
Lineage: Eukaryota; Viridiplantae; Streptophyta; Magnoliopsida; Fabales; Fabaceae
Description: long non-coding RNA (AIPA_LNC002507)
Source: RNAcentral
CAUGAUCAACAUCAUACUCACCAUCAACAUGGUACCACCCAUCAAUUCAACCUCAAUCAUCCAUCAAGCAUAUAUCACAACAUGCAUUUCUCAUAUAUCACACAAUCAAGGCAUCAAUAUUCAUAAUCACAUAUAUGAACACAUCAUAUAUCUCAAUCAUUCAACAACACCAACAAUUCAAUGCCUAUCUUAGGGCCUCUAGCCUAAGUAUUUCCUACCACAUUACAUAUUAGAUACGGGAAACUAAAACCAUACCUUAGCCGAUUCCCCAAGCUCAACCGGAGCACUUCCAAACCACUUGUCCACAAGCUCUCAAGGUAUCAACACCUCCAAGAACAGAUUUUAUCACACAAAACCCUCUUCCAAGCUUUCCAAAAUCACCAAUCAAGCUCCAAUAUUCACAUAUACACAACCUAAGCCACAAUCA